Molecule: long non-coding RNA, 437 nt
Organism: Ictalurus punctatus (channel catfish)
Lineage: Eukaryota; Metazoa; Chordata; Actinopteri; Siluriformes; Ictaluridae
Exons: 2
Source: RefSeq, a predicted model, not a curated record
UCCUGUAUCUAAAUCAGCUCUACCCACUGUUCCACUGUGUUACUUAGAAAUGUCUCUUUUUUCAUAUUCUACACAGCUUCUUUAUGAUUUAUGUAUUUGAGCAUGUGUGUGUGUGUGUGGUUCCUGCUCCUGUUACAUCUGUGUUUAUAUAAGGUGGAGUGUGUGUGUGUGUGUGUGUGUGUGUGUGAGAGAGAGAGAGAGAGAGAGAGAUGUUACACUGUAAGAAGUUGUAGUUGAAACUCCACCUUUUCUGCACCUGACUGUCGUCAUAUCAGGUGAAAGUGAAAGCAGGUAAUUUUUGUGUCGAGAAAACCGAGAGGCUCUUUGGAACAGAAUCGCAUUGACUUUAAUCUUUAUUGAAUAACGCGGUGUGACGCAGUAACUUAACCUGAGGGAAGUUAACAGACCCGUGUGUCCUGCUGUGUUUCUUACACACA